UGAGUAAUGUCUGGGAAACUGCCCGAUGGAGGGGGAUAACUACUGGAAACGGUAGCUAAUACCGCAUAACGUCGCAAGACCAAAGAGGGGGACCUUCGGGCCUCUUGCCAUCGGAUGUGCCCAGAUGGGAUUAGCUAGUAGGUGGGGUAACGGCUCACCUAGGCGACGAUCCCUAGCUGGUCUGAGAGGAUGACCAGCCACACUGGAACUGAGACACGGUCCAGACUCCUACGGGAGGCAGCAGUGGGGAAUAUUGCACAAUGGGCGCAAGCCUGAUGCAGCCAUGCCGCGUGUAUGAAGAAGGCCUUCGGGUUGUAAAGUACUU
This 325-nucleotide ribosomal RNA is filed under the name Citrobacter freundii. Its description in RNAcentral is "bacterial SSU rRNA". It matches the Rfam family "Bacterial small subunit ribosomal RNA", at positions 107 to 435 of the family's 1533-position model. Lineage: Bacteria; Pseudomonadati; Pseudomonadota; Gammaproteobacteria; Enterobacterales; Enterobacteriaceae. The record is from RNAcentral.